GAUGAAGAACGCAGCGAAAUGCGAUAAGUAAUGUGAAUUGCAGAAUUCAGUGAAUCAUCGAAUCUUUGAACGCACAUUGCGCCCCUUGGUAUUCCGAGGGGCAUGCCUAUUCGAGCGUCAUUAUCACCCCUCAAGCCUAGCUUGGUGUUGAGGCCUGCUGUCAAGGCAGCCUCUAAAAUCAGUGGCAGUGCUGUCAGGCUCUAAGCGUAGUAAAUCUAAUCGCUAUAGACACCUGGUGGACACUCGCCAGAACCCCCCCAUUUUUUAAUGAUUGACCUCGGAUUAGGUAGGGAUACCCGCUGAACUUAAGCAUAUCAAUAACGGAGGA
RNAcentral lists this unclassified non-coding RNA (328 nucleotides) under soil metagenome. Its description in RNAcentral is "partial contains 5.8S ribosomal RNA, internal transcribed spacer 2, and large subunit ribosomal RNA". The stretch from base 1 to 120 matches the Rfam family "5.8S ribosomal RNA", at positions 35 to 154 of the family's 154-position model. The record is from RNAcentral.